CCUACGGGUGGCAGCAGUGGGGAAUAUUGCGCAAUGGGCGAAAGCCUGACGCAGCGACGCCGCGUGAGGGAUGAAGGUCUUCGGAUCGUACACCUCUGUCAGCAGGGACGAACGGUCACUGUGCUAAUCAGCAGUGAAUUGACGGUACCUGCAAAGGAAGCACCGGCUAACUCCGUGCCAGCAGCCGCGGUAAUACGGAGGGUGCGAGCGUUAAUCGGAAUUACUGGGCGUAAAGCGCUCGUAGGCGGUAUGUCAAGGCAAGGGUGAAAUCCCCGCGCUCAACGUGGGAACUGACUGUGAACCUGGCAAACUGGAGUGUGUGAGAGGAUAGUGGAAUUCCAGGUGGAGGAGUGAAAGCCGUAGAUAUCUGGAGGAACAUCAGUGGCGAAGGCGACUAUCUGGCACAUAACUGACGCUGAGGAGCGAAAGCGUGGGUAGCAAACAGGAUUAGAUACCCCAGUAGUC
Molecule: ribosomal RNA, 465 nt
Filed under: uncultured bacterium
Lineage: Bacteria
Description: partial 16S ribosomal RNA
Rfam family: Bacterial small subunit ribosomal RNA
Source: RNAcentral